UGAAUGUUUCUUGUGUAUUCAUCAUACUAAACUUGCAUACAUUUUACAAUAGCAAAAGAUUCAUUGACAUGUCCAAAAGGAAAUCAACCUACACAAAAUACAAUGUUCCUAAUUAUAAAUAUACUAACUUCGAUUCAUAAUAUAACUAAACUUGCACACAUUUCUAAUACCGAAGCUUGCACACAUUUUGCAUACACACAGCCAUACUUGCACAGGUUUCAUGAGAGCACACAUACUGAUACGUAUAGAAUUAAAGAGUUCCUAUAAAAGAAAAGAUAAAUACAACUCACCAUCCUCCUGAAGCAAUCCUCAUCAAGGACAACAUCAAAUACUUCACAGACGUCAUGAUCUGGCACCAAUGGUACACAAGGGGCACCCGGACAACGACAAACAGGGCAAACCAUAGCUACAAAAAAUCUAAGAAACAUAGAGUAAAUAAAAAAAGACAAAUUUACAUAAUUAAACAAAAGGGAAUAAGCAGGAAGGACAACCUACAUUAACUAUAAAAAAAACACUAUCAAUCUAAUUAUAUCUCGCAAAAAUAGAAUUCACAAAUCUAAAUUGGAACCUUAAAAAGAAAUUACAUAAAAAACCUCCCUAAUCUUUAUUAAAUCUGAACAAAUUGCAUCUCUUUAAAGCUAAACUUCCAGAAAUUCCUCAAGAAGCAAAGUGUAACAAAAAAUCAUUGACACAAAAAGAGUGGACAUUAUAAAAAUCAAAAUAUAACAUUAUGAGACCACCAUCCUGCUACUGCAUGGGUUCAGGACACCAUCCUGCUACUAAAAAAUAAUCAAGAAAGGCCUACAAAAAGCACACAACCUAGAAUCUGCAUCACAAAAAACAAUAAACACUAAAAAGAAUGCAUCUUUACAGACAUACAAGACACACUAAAUUACCCAGUUCAAACCCUAAUAAACCAAAACCUAAAACCAAGCCGUAAAACCAAAUCACACUGCACAUCUAGAAACCCUAAACAUACUACACACACUACCACCAAACAGUAAGAUUCAAACAAAGACAAAAAAUACGUGAGAAAGAGGAGAUGCACCAACGACAAUCCGUCAGCAAGGAAAUCCCCCGACUGGUAAAUCCUGCAAACAACAUAGAUAAACACAGAGAAGCACAUUAGUAAGCAGAUCUAGCAAGAAAACAAAAAAGCUCAGGAAGAACUAUGAGCAGAGGAAGCAGAAGUAUCGGAUCUAGCAAGAAACUACACGGACCCUAUCUCGACGCAUGAAGCGAAGAACACAAAGAGCAAGAUAAACUAAGGCAGAGAGGGUAACCACGACAAGAAUACCUGAAAAAAAAUAUGAGGUGCAGCAAAGGCAAAUCCUACAGCAACCAAUCCCCCGAUUGGAAAGUCCUGCAAACACCAUAGAUAACCAUAGAGAAGCACCCAGGUGAGCAGAUCUAGCAAAGAAACAGAUAGCACAAGAAGAUGUAUGAUCGGAGGAAGCAUAAGGAGGAGAUCUAGCAGCAAAAUCCACGAACCCUAGCUCGGGACGGGAAGAGGAGAAGACAUAGACUGAAGUAGAGCGGGGGGGAGGGGGGGCACUGAACAACCACGAGGGGGAGAUGAUAAGACGAGAAGAG
RNAcentral lists this long non-coding RNA (1593 nucleotides) under Triticum aestivum (bread wheat). RNAcentral describes it as "long non-coding RNA (TAES_LNC008838)". Lineage: Eukaryota; Viridiplantae; Streptophyta; Magnoliopsida; Poales; Poaceae. The record is from RNAcentral.